GCAAACUUGGUCAUUUAGAGGAAGUAAAAGUCGUAACAAGGUUUCCGUAGGUGAACCUGCGGAAGGAUCAUUAACGAGUUAGGGUCUACACGGCCCGACCUCCCAACCCUAUGUGUAUUGAACCUGUGUUGCUUCGGCGGGCCCGUCGUGAGAACGACCGCCGGAGGACCGUCGAGAGGCGUCCUCUGGCCCGCGCCUGCCGGUGGCCUACACCUACAAAACUCUGAAUGAAUCAUGUCUUACGUCUAAGUCAUAUAUCAAAUAAAGCAAAAACUUUCAACAACGGAUCUCUUGGUUCUGGCAUCGAUGAAGAACGCAGC
RNAcentral lists this unclassified non-coding RNA (320 nucleotides) under uncultured fungus. RNAcentral's name for it is "partial contains small subunit ribosomal RNA, internal transcribed spacer 1, and 5.8S ribosomal RNA". The stretch from base 1 to 73 matches the Rfam family "Eukaryotic small subunit ribosomal RNA", at positions 1759 to 1831 of the family's 1831-position model. The record is from RNAcentral. Lineage: Eukaryota; Fungi.